RNAcentral lists this ribosomal RNA (497 nucleotides) under uncultured bacterium. RNAcentral describes it as "partial 16S ribosomal RNA". It matches the Rfam family "Bacterial small subunit ribosomal RNA", at positions 28 to 507 of the family's 1533-position model. The record is from RNAcentral.
GAUGAACGCUGGCGGCGUGCCUAAUACAUGCAAGUCGAGCGAACAGACGAGGAGCUUGCUCCUCUGACGUUAGCGGCGGACGGGUGAGUAACACGUGGAUAACCUACCUAUAAGACUGGGAUAACUUCGGGAAACCGGAGCUAAUACCGGAUAAUAUAUUGAACCGCAUGGUUCAAUAGUGAAAGACGGUUUUGCUGUCACUUAUAGAUGGAUCCGCGCCGCAUUAGCUAGUUGGUAAGGUAACGGCUUACCAAGGCAACGAUGCGUAGCCGACCUGAGAGGGUGAUCGCACACACGGGAACUGGAACACGGUCCAGACUCCUGCGAGAGGCAGCAGUAGGGAAGCUGCCGCAAUGGGCGGAAGCCUGACGGAGCGACGCCGAUUGAGUGAUGAAAGUCACAGGAUCGUAAAACUCUGUUAUUAGGGAAGAACAGAUGUGUAAGUAACUGUGCACAUCUUGACGGUACCUAAUCAGAAAGCCACGGCGAACUACGUG